This is a long non-coding RNA of Syngnathus typhle (broad-nosed pipefish), 3319 nucleotides long. RefSeq lists it as uncharacterized. The transcript is spliced from 3 exons. The record is from RefSeq and is a predicted model, not a curated record. NCBI's taxonomy places the organism in Eukaryota, Metazoa, Chordata, Actinopteri, Syngnathiformes, Syngnathidae.
ACGUGAUUUUGUGUUAUGCCGCCAUCUUGGCGGUCAACCUGUCAGCUCGUUCCUACGUGUUCGUACGGAUUCAGUUUGAUUUCGGCGCUACAUUUUCACCGAUUUCAUCCGAAUUAUGGCUGAUUUGCUAUCCAAUGAAGAAAUCUUACCAAAUGCCAGGUCAAACACUCUCAACGGAUGAAUGAUCCUCCCCUCAGACCUUGGGUAGCAAUAGCGAAAGAUGGUCAGAUCCUGUGAUGCCACUGUACCUGCAUGGCUGGAUUGGGUGAAACAUGUUCACAUUCAGCAGCAUCAUCCCUGUUCGCCCUGGAGACAUUAAUACGUAUGAAGACGGCCACUUCAUGCACAUCACUACCUUGUCAGUGGCUGAAACCAUCCGCGUCGCACAUAGAAUAUGCUGAAGGAUGCAAUAUCGAUUUUGCCCGUCCAGCCCAGAAACGAAAGUCAGAAGUUUCAACUCCUGAGGAAAGUGCUGCGAGAAAACUGCUGAAUGUUCCUCCACCAACUGAAGAGCAGAAAGCUGCCUUUUACAAGGCUUUGUCUGAAUGUGGUGGAAGACUAGCAAUUUUGAGCAUUGUCCCUGACUAUGCUGACAACUUUGUGCCAAGGGCAGUGAAGCGAAAGCUUCCUGUACCUCUCUCACAGCUGCACGAUUCUGGCAAUACGAAACUCAGCACAGAUGAACUUGCACUAAAAUGCCGGUCAGAGGUGGGAAAGUUACAUUCCAUUACCAGAGAGCAGAUAUCUGCGGUUGAAGAAGAGUCCAGGGGCCAAGCAACAUCAACAACUUGGUUUCAACAAAGAGCUGGGCGAAUUAGUUCAUCAAGUUCCGCACGCAGAUUUUUACACUCUGCAGUGAGGGAAUCCAUUGCUUCCCCAGUGAUAUCCGUCUGUGUGGCAGUAGUCACCAUGCCUUCUUUUCGAAUCUCAGCGUGCACCACAUCUUCACCAGCGGGUAGUUGAUCAUUUUCACAAGGGACAGACUGGGAAAUAUUGACAAGUGCUGCUGCUGCUGCUGCUGCUGCUGCUGCUGCUGCCAAUGCCCUCUCGCGGUCACUAUUGCGCUGCUUGAGAUUUUGUCUUCUCUCAAAGAUCUUCAUUGAUCAUUUGAGUUUUGGUUUUUGAAGUGACUGGGUAUCCUCAAACAUACUUGGCACAUAGUCUGGGGAUAGUGGAUCUUCGCUUUUUGCACCUGAAACAAUUAAACAAUAACAUUAUUCAUAGUGACUACCAUAAAUAAUUAAGCACGUUGUUGAAGGGGAUAUACCCAGUUCAAUUUGUUUCGUAAUGGCAUUUCAUGACUUGACAUAUUCAAAAACUGAAUAGAGUGAAAUCAUUUAGAUACUGUACCUGUCUGUUCAGGUUGCUAUCAUUUUUAUUUUUUGUUUAUUUUUGCAUGAUGCCUCAUCUGAUUGGCUUGAAAAUUUUUAACCUUGUGCCAAUGGCUUAAAUUUUAUCAAUGUGGAUUUUACCUUGUGCCAAAUGAAGUAACAAAAAGCCUCUUGUUCAAAAAUGCUUCAUUAAAAAAAAAUUGUUUCACAAGGUUCAUAAUUUUUUUUGAAAUUUCCUAAUGCAUUCACUCAUGAGAAUUAAUUGUUAAUUCCAAUAUGAAGUUCAAUAUUUACAUUGAUAACGUUUUCAAGCCAAUCAGAUGAAGCAUCAUGAAAAAAUAAACCAAAAAUAAAAACGGGGGGGUGAACUGAAGAAAUCAUCCCAUUCCCUGCCUUGCUGCUCUUGCUGCCUUUCUAAAAAUGCACGCAGCAUUUUCAACAAUCAUAUUUGUAUCAUCCCAUAUUGUAUUAUUUCACAUUUUGUGAAACAAAUCAAGGGUGAAUAGUUUGUUUACAUACCUGAUAUGAAGUGCUCAUUGCAUAUCCUUGUGUAAAUCGUAGGUUUCCAUUGUUCACGACGAAUCGCCCCGAUCCAUUUAUCGCCUUUUUGGAUGUUUGCCGGAAAUCUAUAAAAGCUAAGAUUUGGUUUAUCAAGCUCAAAUAGCAGCAGAUGUAACAAGAAAGCGUGUGAGUCGUUGACCGGCAAGAUGGCCGCCAAGCUAAUGUGCGCGGCUGCUGACGUCAGCUGCAAAGCAACUGCUGUUCUGUUUAUUAUACUUACAGUUGUUAUGCAUUGACAUAAUGGUGCGCACUCAAAAUAGAUUUAAAUAAAUGGAAUCGUUUUUCUGCCCACUCCCUUUUAAACAAGCUAACUAUGCCCACGGAUUUGAAUUAGGGUGGACGUUCCGCCCAUCGACGUCACGCACACGUCACGUGGCCACGAUGCGGCAGACGGCAUAUAACCACCGCUGUUUUGUUUAGUAGACUUACAGUCACAAACUUUAUGCAGAGGUGAGAGAAACUUGACAAAGUACAGCCCAAGGGCAGGUCUCGACACUGGGCAAACAGCACAAAAUAAGAUUAUGAAUCAUAACACACACGACUUGUCAUAUUGUACCAAUACAUCAGAAUCACUGGUUUGCUACUUGGCACUAUGAUCAUUUAGCAACUGCGUAGCUAAAUUGCCUUUUCUCCUAAACAUACGCAUGGGUCACUGUUUAUCUUGAGAGGUCACAGGAAAUUGGCCUCACAUUGUUGCAGGGCGCAUUUUGUGUGUGUCGCUGGAAUUACCAAAGCCGUGUGUUUUUAUUUAAUAAAUGCACCCUUUGUUCUAUUUCCUGUCUUGCAGUCUUAAGUCACCGCAGCGGAAUCCAAAUGUGAGAGACCUCCUCUGCUUGCGGUUGGAAGUCACGUUAUGAAGACGUCACAGCUUGGCUUUGGCCAAUUGAUCCCUCAGCUCCAGCCAGGCGAGGGUGGAAUAGCUGCAACUGAUACUGAGUCCGACGUCAGCGCCACAUAUACUCCCUGAGUCGACAGCGGCGGAGGCCGAAGAUUUCGAUGCAUUUAAUGAUUUGGAGUGACGCGGAUGUUUUGAUCAACGUGUUAUUUAUGUUAUAUUUAUUUGAAUAACUGUUCAUUUUACGUCAGUUCCUCGUUUGUGUUUGUGUAACGUUACAAUACCGUAUGCGUAUCGUUUAGGCUGUUGUUGCCUAUUGGUGUCUGUUCUUGAUGUUGGAUUUUAUCGAAUUAAGUUCCGCCAAACAUGCGACUUACGUUUUUUUUCUUUUUUAUUAUGCAUUUUAUGGCUGUUGUUGCGACUUGUACUCCUGAGCGACGGAAAACACUGUAGUUAGCAAUCAGUAGACCAGCUUAAAAAAAAUGUAUGUUGAUGUAACAGAACAUAUGUCUAUACACGCGGUUGAAAUGAAAGAGUGGGUUGUUAACACAAAUGAACAUUGAAAUAUUAAACAUUUCUUUGUAGUUAUGGA